Molecule: non-coding RNA, 76 nt
Organism: Myotis lucifugus (little brown bat)
Lineage: Eukaryota; Metazoa; Chordata; Mammalia; Chiroptera; Vespertilionidae
Source: Rfam
GGUGGGGAGGAGGGGAGUCCCUUAGCCCGGAUUGCGAGAGGGCGCAGGCCAAGCUGAGGGACCCCACCAGUGCACG